UACGUAGGGCGCAAGCGUUGUCCGGAAUUAUUGGGCGUAAAGAGCUCGUAGGCGGCCCGUUGCGUCGGCUGUGAAAACCCGAGGCUCAACCUCGGGCCUGCAGUCGAUACGGACGGGCUAGAGUGCGGCAGGGGAGACUGGAAUUCCUGGUGUAGCGGUGAAAUGCGCAGAUAUCAGGAGGAACACCGGUGGCGAAGGCGGGUCUCUGGGCCGCUACUGACGCUGAGGAGCGAAAGCGUGGGGAG
This 245-nucleotide ribosomal RNA is filed under the name uncultured bacterium. RNAcentral's name for it is "partial 16S ribosomal RNA". It matches the Rfam family "Bacterial small subunit ribosomal RNA", at positions 524 to 768 of the family's 1533-position model. The record is from RNAcentral.